GCCGGGCGCGGUGGCUCACGCCUGUAAUCCCAGCACUUUGGGAGGCUGAGGCAGGCGGAUCACCUGAGGUCGGGAGUUCGAGAGCAGCCUGACCAACAUGGUGAAACCCUGUCUCUA
Callithrix jacchus (white-tufted-ear marmoset) is the source of this 117-nucleotide unclassified non-coding RNA. It matches the Rfam family "Metazoan signal recognition particle RNA". Rfam says of the family: The signal recognition particle (SRP) is a universally conserved ribonucleoprotein. It is involved in the co-translational targeting of proteins to membranes. The record is from Ensembl. Lineage: Eukaryota; Metazoa; Chordata; Mammalia; Primates; Cebidae.